RNAcentral lists this ribosomal RNA (540 nucleotides) under uncultured bacterium. RNAcentral describes it as "bacterial SSU rRNA". It matches the Rfam family "Bacterial small subunit ribosomal RNA", at positions 777 to 1315 of the family's 1533-position model. The record is from RNAcentral.
AAUAGAUACCCUGGUAGUCCACCCCGUAAACGUUGGGAACUAGUUGUGGGGUCCAUUCCACGGAUUCCGUGACGCAGCUAACGCAUUAAGUUCCCCGCCUGGGGAGUACGGCCGCAAGGCUAAAACUCAAAGGAAUUGACGGGGACCCGCACAAGCGGCGGAGCAUGCGGAUUAAUUCGAUGCAACGCGAAGAACCUUACCAAGGCUUGACAUACACGAGAACGGGCCAGAAAUGGUCAACUCUUUGGACACUCGUGAACAGGUGGUGCAUGGUUGUCGUCAGCUCGUGUCGUGAGAUGUUGGGUUAAGUCCCGCAACGAGCGCAACCCUCGUUCUAUGUUGCCAGCACAUAAUGGUGGGAACUCAUGGGAUACUGCCGGGGUCAACUCGGAGGAAGGUGGGGAUGACGUCAAAUCAUCAUGCCCCUUAUGUCUUGGGCUUCACGCAUGCUACAAUGGCCGGUACAAAGGGCUGCAAUACCGUGAGGUGGAGCGAAUCCCAAAAAGCCGGUCCCAGUUCGGAUUGAGGUCUGCAACUCGA